CGUCGCCCCACGGACCUCCCGGUCGCGGCCGGUUACAACAGAGCCUGGGCGUGAACCCAGGGACUCUGAUGGCACAGCUGGCGCUGCAGUACAGCGCCCUUAACCACUGCACCACCCAGGAGGCCCAGGUCGUCAUAGGUUGACAAGGUCACCACCAUAUAGACAUUCAUUUUAUUAAGGGGCAGAAAACGGAGCUGAUUGUGGACUACAGGAAACGGAGGGCCGAGCACGCCCCCAUCCACAUUGACAGGGCUGUAGCGGAGAGGGUCGAGAGCUUCAAGUUCCUUGGUGUCUACAUCACUAAGGAAUAACAUGGUCCACACACAGCAACAGAGUCAUGCAGGCACAACAACGCCUUCCCCCAUUCAGGAGGCUGUCAUGCCAAAUAGUGUCCCACAGCCAAAUAGUGUCCCACAGCCAAAAAGUCAGGGUAAAUGCGAUCAUUGUUAUAGGUUAUUUACACUAUUUAUGAUAUUUUUUUAUCUUUAAAUCUCAGAUUAUUAUUGGAUAAAGUACAAAACAUGCUCCAUACAUGGUCAUUGAUGUUUACUUGCAUGCAAAACUUGAUUUAGCUAGCAUGAGCAUGCUGCAAGCAAGCAUGGAUACUGCAAAUGAUGGAUGCAAACACUACUGUGAGGUAAGACCACUUUUCCAAAUCUCUUUAUUUAGCUAGCUAGCUAAGCUUUGUAUUGCAUUAUUUGUCUUUGUAAUUCAGUUGAUUUAGAUAGCUAUCUCUUAUACAGAGUAGCAUAUGAAAAGUGCUAUAUCAUCUGUAAAAUUUGGGAUAAAGGUGAACUGCAUAAAUUAAUCUUCUGGUCAUCAUGAGUGAUCAGAUUGUACCUGGGUCUACCAUUAGAGAGGCUGGUUUCAGACUAUGAUCUAUAAGUAGAUCAUUAGAAACCCUGUUGCAGUGAGGUUAUUUUAUCAAUAACUGUACCCAUUGUAUAUCAAUGUAUGUGUGUAAAUUAAUUGAUUUCUUGCUGAAUUACUACAUUCAUAAUAGGUCAUUUAUCCUUUGUUUUUCUUGUUCCAUACCAGGCUGCCAUGGUGCGGGCCUCUCAAACAACUUCCUCCCAGCAACAACAGAAAUGCGAGCCAAGCUUUCAAAAAUAACAUCAGGAGGCAAGAGAAAUAGAUAUUUUACAUGUUUACAUUGCACAAUUUAUAUAUUUUUUAAAAUAGCAUAAUGUCUCAAUUACAAACAGUAUGUUGCCCUUGUUUUUUUAAAAGCGCCAUUCCUCUGGAAUCCCUACUAUCACUGCAGCGAGUGAAACUUCAACCAUGUCAGUCAGUAAACAACAAAAUCCUGCGUCUAGUGACGUUCAUUUGCCAACAAACUGCCCACUCGACUUGACUCGACGCCAACCCCUCCUCCCUCCUAUGUCUGACCACUGGCUGCUUUCUCUCCAACUUUGACUACCAGUCGUACCCCCCCCUCAAAAAAAUGAACACUUCUCCGACAGAACCGUCCACUGACCAUGGAUUUACCCUUCAACAUGGUAAAAGAGAAGCAAAACGGGGACAGACAGGUCGGAUCUAGGGGUUCUGGGACGCAUACCGUAUCCCUUCCCCAGACCUUGAUCCACCUGAUGUCCUCCAUGAUCAACCACCCUCCAAGAUCCCACUUUUCAUGACAUUAUCUACAGCUACUGUUAAUGUCAUGUGGUUUGAUAGAAUCUGCUUAGGGACCUGUGCAUGACAUAUCAUCCUAGGCACAGUGAGAUAAGCUACAGGGAAAGUGACCAGCAGAACCACUUGUAGCAUCCACAGCUUCUCUAUCCCACACAUCAGAAUUGAGAUAAAGGAUUUAAAAAAUCACUUUACUUAUAUGUACUUGUAAUUCAUACUUCUGUUUUCUCAACUAAAUUUUAUUGUUUGUGUUGAUGUUUGCCUAUACUCAUGUAUUUCAGUCUAUAACUGCCAUGUGGGUAUAUUAAAUAAAAUCAAGUUCAUUACACACCUGUACC
Molecule: long non-coding RNA, 1967 nt
Organism: Oncorhynchus tshawytscha (Chinook salmon)
Lineage: Eukaryota; Metazoa; Chordata; Actinopteri; Salmoniformes; Salmonidae
Exons: 4
Source: RefSeq, a predicted model, not a curated record